Molecule: ribosomal RNA, 235 nt
Filed under: uncultured bacterium
Lineage: Bacteria
Description: partial 16S ribosomal RNA
Rfam family: Bacterial small subunit ribosomal RNA
Source: RNAcentral
UGGGUAACCUGCCUCAAAGAGGGGAAUAGCCUCCCGAAAGGGAGAUUAAUACCGCAUAAUAUGUUUAGGUCACAUGGCCUCAACAUCAAAGGAUUCUCUUCGGAGAUUCCACUUUGAGAUGGACCCGCGGCGCAUUAGCUAGUUGGUGAGGUAACGGCUCACCAAGGCGACGAUGCGUAGCCGACCUGAGUAGGGUGAUCGGCCACAUUGGAACUGAGACACGGUCCAGACUCCG